RNAcentral lists this long non-coding RNA (367 nucleotides) under Helianthus annuus (common sunflower). Its description in RNAcentral is "sRNA HanXRQr2_Chr13g0600521". The record is from RNAcentral. Lineage: Eukaryota; Viridiplantae; Streptophyta; Magnoliopsida; Asterales; Asteraceae.
ACGUUUUCUGAAUAAUGUUUCUUAAAUUACCAGAUCUCAUUUAUUUGGGAUCGUUUUCUAUAUUUUCAGGGUGAUCCGUUUCGGUUCAUGAUAGUUUUUUCUAUAUUUUGAUAAGAUCCAAAGAUGCCCAAUGUUAAUCAUUUGUCGCAAAAUUGAAUUCACCGAUCUACACCAAAUACAACAAUAAACAAAUCUCCAGUUACCGUAUUUGAUCACUGAUCGAUUGAUUGCUUACUUUAUUGUUUAUAAUGGAACUGUUUGCUGUGUUUAUGAUAUUGAAAUGGAGCUUCAUUCACACCUGGACACAAUUUAAGAAAUCGAAUACGAAUUCCCAAUAACAUCUCCAAUGACCCUUAGAAUUUGUGCU